RNAcentral lists this long non-coding RNA (960 nucleotides) under Fukomys damarensis (Damara mole-rat). RNAcentral's name for it is "lncRNA (ENSFDAG00000025509.1)". Lineage: Eukaryota; Metazoa; Chordata; Mammalia; Rodentia; Bathyergidae. The record is from RNAcentral.
GGCGGGAGUGGCUGUGCCGCAGCCUCCCCUCCCNNNNNNNNNNNNNNNNNNNNNNNNNNNNNNNNNNNNNCCCGCCUCCCGCACGAGGCUCAGCGGCCAUUUCGCGCGCGAUUUCCUUCAAUGAGCCCGAGCUUGUGCUCCCGCGCGAGGUUAUUUUUCUUCUGCAGUUCUCACAGCUCUGUGACUCAUUUGGUCCUGGGGCUCUUGGCCGGGCAAGACUUCUCCUGGGAGGGUUUCUUCAGGACCAUGUACAAGAUCCUGGCAAAGGAAACCGCCAGGCUGCUCACUGGCCCAAGCGGAACUCCUCCAAGGAAGUUUAACUUUUUCAGAUGUGUUCUCCCUGCACUUGAGGAAGCCAUUUUCCUGAAAGCCCACAGGCUUCUGAAACAAAGAGAAGGUGUGAGAGGAGUAGUGUUGGGGUCACCUUUAGCAGCAGCCUGGACACUUCUCAUCCACGAGACAGAGAAGGGUCCAAGAUGGUGACCAGCACAGCUGAAACAAAGCUGACAAGGCCUCGAGUGAACUUGCUUUCAAUUUACAGAUAAUCCGAAUGUGCCUCAAGACUCCAAAGGCUCUUCUCAAGCAAUUAUCACAUUAUUAUAUGAUUGCUUCGCUAAUGUUUUGUGUCAUUUUCUUUUCCCACUUGCUCCCAUCCACCCACUCUUUUUCAUGCAGAUUUUUCAACACGUAUGGUAGAGUCAGGGAGAAGCAGAAAAUCAAGAGAAGAAGGGUGGGAGGAAUGUCAGAUCAGAAGGGUGAGGAAAUGGUAAUGGUGAUAAAAAGCUCUUAAUCAAAAGGAAACUAGAAAGAAGAGCAGCUGGGCAUGGUGGCAUGUGCCUGGAGCCCCUGCACUCUGGAGGCUGAGACAGGAGGACUGCUUCGAAUUUGAGGCCAGCCUGGGAUACAUAGUGGGUUCAGGGACAGCGAGAUGCUGUGUCAAAAAACAAAACAAAACAAAAC